GGUUCCAUAGUGUAGCGGUUAUCACGUUUGCUUUACACGCAAAAGGUCGCCGGUUCGAGCCCGGCUGGAACCA
This is a transfer RNA of Tropilaelaps mercedesae, 73 nucleotides long. It matches the Rfam family "tRNA". Rfam says of the family: Transfer RNA (tRNA) molecules are approximately 80 nucleotides in length. Their secondary structure includes four short double-helical elements and three loops (D, anti-codon, and T loops). Further hydrogen bonds mediate the characteristic L-shaped molecular structure. tRNAs have two regions of fundamental functional importance: the anti-codon, which is responsible for specific mRNA codon recognition, and the 3' end, to which the tRNAs corresponding amino acid is attached (by aminoacyl-tRNA synthetases). tRNAs cope with the degeneracy of the genetic code in two manners: having more than one tRNA (with a specific anti-codon) for a particular amino acid; and 'wobble' base-pairing, i.e. permitting non-standard base-pairing at the 3rd anti-codon position. Lineage: Eukaryota; Metazoa; Arthropoda; Arachnida; Mesostigmata; Laelapidae. The record is from Rfam.